CUGCUCCCUUCUUUUACUGGAGAUUCAAAGUUGAUCUGCACAUUGAUUUAGCACACGUUUUACUCCCGAUGCCCUUCCUGUUGCAACUCCAUAUUAUGCAGAG
Thalassophryne amazonica is the source of this 103-nucleotide long non-coding RNA. RefSeq lists it as uncharacterized. NCBI's taxonomy places the organism in Eukaryota, Metazoa, Chordata, Actinopteri, Batrachoidiformes, Batrachoididae. The record is from RefSeq and is a predicted model, not a curated record. The transcript has 3 exons.